CCUACGGGUGGCAGCAGUGGGGAAUAUUGCACAAUGGAGGAAACUCUGAUCCAGCGACGCCGCGUGAGGGAAGACGGCCUUCGGAUUGUAAACCUCUGUUUUUGGGGAAGAAAAUGACGGUACUCUAAGUGGAAGCUCCGGCUAACUACGUGCCAGCCGCCGCGGUCAUACGUAGGGAGCGAGCGUUGUCCGGAAUUACUGGGUGUAAAGGGAGCGUAGUCGGGCGAGAAAGUCGAAUGUUAAAUCUACCGUCUAAACUGGUAGCUGCGUUCAAAACUUCUAGUCUUGAGUGAAGUAGAGGCAGGCGGAAUUCCUAGUGUAGCGGUGAAAUGCGUAGAUAUUAGGAAGAACACCGAUGGCGAAGGCAGCCUACUAGGCUUUAACUGACGCUGAGGCUCGAAAGCGUGGGGAGCAAACAGGAUUAGAUACCCUAGUAGUC
RNAcentral lists this ribosomal RNA (439 nucleotides) under uncultured bacterium. RNAcentral's name for it is "partial 16S ribosomal RNA". It matches the Rfam family "Bacterial small subunit ribosomal RNA", at positions 338 to 795 of the family's 1533-position model. The record is from RNAcentral.